Molecule: ribosomal RNA, 1405 nt
Filed under: unidentified marine bacterioplankton
Lineage: Bacteria
Description: bacterial SSU rRNA
Rfam family: Bacterial small subunit ribosomal RNA
Source: RNAcentral
AGAGUUUGAUCAUGGCUCAGGACGAACGCUGGCGGCGUGCCUAAUACAUGCAAGUCGAACGCUUCUUUCCUCCCGAGUGCUUGCACUCAAUUGGAAAGAGGAGUGGCGGACGGGUGAGUAACACGUGGGUAACCUACCCAUCAGAGGGGGAUAACACUUGGAAACAGGUGCUAAUACCGCAUAACAGUUUAUGCCGCAUGGCAUAAGAGUGAAAGGCGCUUUCGGGUGUCGCUGAUGGAUGGACCCGCGGUGCAUUAGCUAGUUGGUGAGGUAACGGCUCACCAAGGCCACGAUGCAUAGCCGACCUGAGAGGGUGAUCGGCCACACUGGGACUGAGACACGGCCCAGACUCCUACGGGAGGCAGCAGUAGGGAAUCUUCGGCAAUGGACGAAAGUCUGACCGAGCAACGCCGCGUGAGUGAAGAAGGUUUUCGGAUCGUAAAACUCUGUUGUUAGAGAAGAACAAGGACGUUAGUAACUGAACGUCCCCUGACGGUAUCUAACCAGAAAGCCACGGCUAACUACGUGCCAGCAGCCGCGGUAAUACGUAGGUGGCAAGCGUUGUCCGGAUUUAUUGGGCGUAAAGCGAGCGCAGGCGGUUUCUUAAGUCUGAUGUGAAAGCCCCCGGCUCAACCGGGGAGGGUCAUUGGAAACUGGGAGACUUGAGUGCAGAAGAGGAGAGUGGAAUUCCAUGUGUAGCGGUGAAAUGCGUAGAUAUAUGGAGGAACACCAGUGGCGAAGGCGGCUCUCUGGUCUGUAACUGACGCUGAGGCUCGAAAGCGUGGGGAGCAAACAGGAUUAGAUACCCUGGUAGUCCACGCCGUAAACGAUGAGUGCUAAGUGUUGGAGGGUUUCCGCCCUUCAGUGCUGCAGCAAACGCAUUAAGCACUCCGCCUGGGGAGUACGACCGCAAGGUUGAAACUCAAAGGAAUUGACGGGGGCCCGCACAAGCGGUGGAGCAUGUGGCUUAAUUCGAAGCAACGCGAAUAACCUUACCAGGUCUUGACAUCCUUUGACCACUCUAGAGAUAGAGCUUUCCCUUCGGGGACAAAGUGACAGGUGGUGCAUGGUUGUCGUCAGCUCGUGUCGUGAGAUGUUGGGUUAAGUCCCGCAACGAGCGCAACCCUUAUUGUUAGUUGCCAUCAUUUAGUUGGGCACUCUAGCGAGACUGCCGGUGACAAACCGGAGGAAGGUGGGGAUGACGUCAAAUCAUCAUGCCCCUUAUGACCUGGGCUACACACGUGCUACAAUGGGAAGUACAACGAGUCGCUAGACCGCGAGGUCAUGCAAAUCUCUUAAAGCUUCUCUCAGUUCGGAUUGCAGGCUGCAACUCGCCUGCAUGAAACCGGAAUCGCUAGUAAUCGCGGAUCAGCACGCCGCGGUGAAUACGUUCCCGGGCCUUGUA